CCUACGGGUGGCAGCAGUGGGGAAUAUUGCACAAUGGGGGAAACCCUGAUGCAGCGACGCCGCGUGAGUGAAGAAGUCAUUCUUGAUGUAAAGCUCUAUCAGCAGGGAAGAAAAUCACGGUACCUGACCUCUACUCCCCGUCUAACUCCGUGCCAGCAGCCGCGGCAAUACGUAGGGGGCAAGCGUUAUCCGGAUUUACUGGGUGUAAUGGGAGCGUAGACGGUUGCGCAAGUCUGGAGUGAAAGGCGGGGGCCCAACCCCCGGACUGCUCUGGAAACUGUGUAACUGGAGUGCAGGAGAGGUAAGUGGAAUUUAUGGUGUAGCGGUGAAAUGCGUAGAUAUUAGAAGGAACACCAGUGGCGAAGGCGGCUUACUGGACUGUAACUGACGUUGAGGCUCGAAAGCGUGGGGAGCAAACAGGAUUAGAUACCCUUGUAGUC
Molecule: ribosomal RNA, 440 nt
Filed under: uncultured bacterium
Lineage: Bacteria
Description: partial 16S ribosomal RNA
Rfam family: Bacterial small subunit ribosomal RNA
Source: RNAcentral